This 215-nucleotide signal recognition particle RNA is filed under the name Chlorocebus sabaeus (green monkey). RNAcentral describes it as "Metazoan signal recognition particle RNA". It matches the Rfam family "Metazoan signal recognition particle RNA". Rfam says of the family: The signal recognition particle (SRP) is a universally conserved ribonucleoprotein. It is involved in the co-translational targeting of proteins to membranes. The eukaryotic SRP consists of a 300-nucleotide 7S RNA and six proteins: SRPs 72, 68, 54, 19, 14, and 9. The record is from Rfam by way of RNAcentral. Lineage: Eukaryota; Metazoa; Chordata; Mammalia; Primates; Cercopithecidae.
GCCGGGCGCGGUGGCUCAAGCCUGUAAUCCCAGCACUUUGGGAGGCCGAGACGGGCGGAUCACGAGGUCAGGAGAUCGAGACCAUCCUGGCUAACACGGUGAAACCCCGUCUCUACUAAAAAAUANNNNNNNNNNUAUUUUUUAGUAGAGACGGGGUUUCACCGUGUUAGCCAGGAUGGUCUCGAUCUCCUGCCCUCGUGAUUCGCCCAUCUCGG